This 425-nucleotide ribosomal RNA is filed under the name uncultured bacterium. RNAcentral's name for it is "partial 16S ribosomal RNA". It matches the Rfam family "Bacterial small subunit ribosomal RNA", at positions 354 to 796 of the family's 1533-position model. The record is from RNAcentral.
GUGGGGAAUAUUGGGCAAUGGGCGAAAGCCUGACCCAGCAACGCCGCGUGAAGGAAGAAGGUCUUCGGAUCGUAAACUUCUAUCCUUGGUGAAGAUAAUGACGGUAGCCAAGAAGGAAGCCCCGGCUAACUACGUGCCAGCAGCCGCGGUAAUACGUAGGGGGCAAGCGUUGUCCGGAAUGAUUGGGCGUAAAGGGCGCGUAGGCGGCCCGGUAAGUCUGAAGUGAAAGUCCUGCUUUUAAGGUGGGAAUUGCUUUGGAUACUGUCGGGCUUGAGUGCAGGAGAGGUAAGCGGAAUUCCCGGUGUAGCGGUGAAAUGCGUAGAGAUCGGGAGGAACACCAGUGGCGAAGGCGACUUACUGGACUGUAACUGACGCUGAGGCGCGAAAGUGUGGGGAGCAAACAGGAUUAGAAACCCGGGUAGUCC